Molecule: ribosomal RNA, 803 nt
Filed under: uncultured Alphaproteobacteria bacterium
Lineage: Bacteria; Pseudomonadati; Pseudomonadota; Alphaproteobacteria
Description: bacterial SSU rRNA
Rfam family: Bacterial small subunit ribosomal RNA
Source: RNAcentral
UUCCUUCGGGGAUGGUGAAAGUGGCAGACGGGUGAGUAACGCGUGGGAACCUGCCCCAAGGUAGGGAAUAACCGCGGGAAACUGCGGCUAAUACCCUAUGCGCCCUACGGGGCAAAGAUUUAUCGCCUUGGGAGGGGCCUGCGUCGGAUUAGGUAGUUGGUAGGGUAACGGCCUACCAAGCCUACGAUCCGUAGCUGGUCUGAGAGGAUGAUCAGCCACACUGGGACUGAGAUACGGCCCAGACUCCUACGGGAGGCAGCAGUGGGGAAUAUUGGACAAUGGGGGCAACCCUGAUCCAGCAAUGCCGCGUGAGUGAUGAAGGCCUUCGGGUUGUAAAGCUCUUUCGGCGGGGAAGAUGAUGACGGUACCCGCAGAAGAAGCCCCGGCUAACUUCGUGCCAGCAGCCGCGGUAAUACGAAGGGGGCUAGCGUUGUUCGGAAUUACUGGGCGUAAAGGGCGCGUAGGCUGUGCUGUAAGUCAGGCGUGAAAUCCCCGGGCUCAACCUGGGAAUUGCGCAUGAUACUGCGGCGCUGGAAGGCGGGAGAGGAUGGCGGAAUUCCCAGUGUAGAGGUGAAAUUCGUAGAUAUUGGGAAGAACACCGGUGGCGAAGGCGGCCAUCUGGCCCGCAAUUGACGCUGAGGCGCGAAAGCGUGGGGAGCAAACAGGAUUAGAUACCCUGGUAGUCCACGCUGUAAACGAUGAGUGCUAGACGUCGGGGGGCUUGCUCUUCGGUGUCGACGCUAACGCAUUAAGCACUCCGCCUGGGGAGUACGGUCGCAAGAUUAAAACUCAAAGGAAUUGAC